GCCGCCGGUUCCGUUUCUAGGCAUCGGUGAGCUGAAGCUGUGGUCCUUCUACAGAGCACUCAUCGCCGAGUUCAUCGCCACCCUCCUCUUUCUCUACGUCACCGUCGCCACCGUCAUCGGCCACAAGAAGCUCAGCGAACUCGACCAGUGCAACGGCGUCGGCCUCCUCGGCAUCGCCUGGGCUUUCGGCGGCAUGAUCUUCAUCCUCGUCUACUGCACCGCCGGAAUCUCAGGUAACAUUUGAAACCCUAACAUUUUCACUUAAUUUUAAUUUGUUCUUAAACUCUGUAAUUACAUUAAUUAAUUAAUUCAGGUGGGCACAUCAACCCGGCGGUUACAUUCGGGCUGUUUCUGGCGAGGAAGGUGUCGCUGAUUAGGGGAAUCUCUUACAUCAUAGCGCAGUCUCUGGGCGCUAUUUGCGGCGUGGGGCUGGUGAAAGCCUUCAUGAAGAGCGACUACAACCGCUUCGGCGGCGGCGCCAACUCCGUCGCCCAUGGUUACAACAUCGGCACGGCGGUGGGUGCCGAGAUUAUCGGCACCUUCGUGCUUGUUUACACAGUCUUCUCCGCCACAGACCCCAAGAGGAGCGCGCGUGACUCUCACGUGCCUGUCCUGGCCCCACUCCCGAUAGGGUUUGCAGUAUUCAUGGUCCACUUGGCCACCAUCCCCAUCACCGGCACCGGCAUCAACCCUGCUCGGAGCUUCGGAGCUGCCGU
This 716-nucleotide long non-coding RNA is filed under the name Erythranthe guttata (spotted monkey flower). RNAcentral describes it as "long non-coding RNA (EGUT_LNC001068)". The record is from RNAcentral. Lineage: Eukaryota; Viridiplantae; Streptophyta; Magnoliopsida; Lamiales; Phrymaceae.